UUUCCGUAGGUGAACCUGCGGAAGGAUCAUUAUUGUAUAACCGAGGUUCGAGGCCUGUCGUUGUCGCUAACGUACCUGCAUUUGCGAAUGCCCCCAUACACCUCUAUCAAACCCCCCUUUGCGCCACUGCGUCGGUCCCGCUUUGGCUUGCUCGGGGGGCGGCAUUCGUUUUCUCUCUACUUUUGUAUGCCGUGUAGAAUGUAUAUUUUGUUUUUGCGAUCACGCUAUCAUUACAACUUUCAACAACAGACCUCUUGGCUCUCGCACCCAUGAAGAACG
This 279-nucleotide unclassified non-coding RNA is filed under the name plant metagenome. Its description in RNAcentral is "partial contains small subunit ribosomal RNA, internal transcribed spacer 1, and 5.8S ribosomal RNA". The record is from RNAcentral.